RNAcentral lists this long non-coding RNA (238 nucleotides) under Eucalyptus grandis. RNAcentral describes it as "long non-coding RNA (EGRA_LNC006942)". The record is from RNAcentral. Lineage: Eukaryota; Viridiplantae; Streptophyta; Magnoliopsida; Myrtales; Myrtaceae.
CAGGUCCAUGGUCCGGACCCUUUCGGCGUCUCCGCCUUUGGAUUGUGAAGAAGAACAGCGUGGCGACGACCAGCAAGCUGGCCACAGUGGCCGCCACUGCCUUGACGAUCGUCUUGCUUGAGGAAGAUGACGAGUCCGGCGGCGGCGCUUGGAGCGAGUCUAUUACGGAAGGAGGAGGAGAGUUGGUGACGAUGGUGGCGGUUGGAGAAAAGAGAAGUAGAGAGAGAAGAGGGAGAGA